GGGUCAGUAGGUUGGUCGUGCCACCGGUACGUACUGGUCUCACUGAUUCCUCCUUCCUGAAGAACCGUAAUGCCAUUAAUUUGGUGUUGCGGGGAAACAGGACUGUUACUUUGAGAAAAUUAUAUUGUUUAAAGCAAGCUAACGCUUGAAUACAUUAGCAUGGAAUAAUGAAAUAGGACGAUCGAUCCUAUUUUGUUGGUUUCUAGGAUUGACGUA
This 216-nucleotide ribosomal RNA is filed under the name Glomeromycotina sp. RNAcentral's name for it is "partial small subunit ribosomal RNA". The stretch from base 40 to 216 matches the Rfam family "Eukaryotic small subunit ribosomal RNA", at positions 686 to 864 of the family's 1831-position model. Lineage: Eukaryota; Fungi; Glomeromycota. The record is from RNAcentral.